GCUAGGUGUGGUGGUGUGGGCCUACAGUCCCAGCUACCCAGGAGGCUGAGCAAGAAGGUCACUUGAACCUGGGAGUUUGGGGCUGGAGUGUAGCGCACUGUGCCAAUCACUUGUGCACACUAAGUUUGGCAUCAGUAUGACAACGUCCAAGGAGCAGGGGACCACCUGGUUGCCUAAAAAGGGGUACACUGGCUCAGGUCAGAAACAGAACAGGUCAAAACUCUCAUGCUAUCUGUAGUGGAUCAUACCUGCAUAUAGCCAUGCUCUUCAGCCUGGGCAACACAGCACGACACUAUCACU
Molecule: signal recognition particle RNA, 300 nt
Filed under: Otolemur garnettii (small-eared galago)
Lineage: Eukaryota; Metazoa; Chordata; Mammalia; Primates; Galagidae
Description: Metazoan signal recognition particle RNA (ENSOGAG00000032048.1)
Rfam family: Metazoan signal recognition particle RNA
About the family: The signal recognition particle (SRP) is a universally conserved ribonucleoprotein. It is involved in the co-translational targeting of proteins to membranes.
Source: RNAcentral